This 429-nucleotide ribosomal RNA is filed under the name bacterium. Its description in RNAcentral is "partial 16S ribosomal RNA". It matches the Rfam family "Bacterial small subunit ribosomal RNA", at positions 355 to 776 of the family's 1533-position model. The record is from RNAcentral.
UGGGGAAUUUUGGACAAUGGGCGCAAGCCUGAUCCAGCCAUGCCGCGUGCGGGAAGAAGGCCUUCGGGUUGUAAACCGCUUUCGGCCGGAACGAAAUCGCCCGGGUGAACAUCCCGGGUGGAUGACGGUACCGGAAGAAGAAGCACCGGCUAACUACGUGCCAGCAGCCGCGGUAAUACGUAGGGUGCGAGCGUUAAUCGGAAUUACUGGGCGUAAAGCGUGCGCAGGCGGUCUCGUAAGACAGGUGUGAAAUCCCCGGGCUCAACCUGGGAACUGCGCUUGUGACUGCGAGGCUGGAGUGUGGCAGAGGGAGGUGGAAUUCCACGUGUAGCAGUGAAAUGCGUAGAGAUGUGGAGGAACACCGAUGGCGAAGGCAGCCUCCUGGGCCAGCACUGUCGCUCAUGCACGAAAGCGUGGGGAGCAAACAGG